UUUUUGCUCUGUUUUUAUUUUUGGAGAGGAGCGCCCUGUAAUUGUCCUAAACACAUGCUUCUCUCUCCACCCCCCCCCUUCUUCCUCCAGCCACCAACGGAGGAGAGAGUCCCCCUUUUUUGCAUUUAUCUUUUCCUUCCCCUUUCUUUAUUAAAGGUCCGGGAGUGGCGGCGCCCAAUCAGCGCGCGGCUUCCAUUUUGUGAGUUCAACUCCGAGGCUCCCGGGCUUCGCGAGGACGCAUUUGCAGCCCCCUCUGCCUGUCCUCUCGGGCGGCCGAGGCGAAGGAGCCGCCUUUCUGGGGCUUCGUGGUGGUGUAUUUCAUAUUGGGGCUCUUUUCGGGGUUUGUAAUUUGGCCGUGGGUAGGUAAUUGGCUGGAGCAGGGCGGCAGGGCGCGGCAGCCAAUCAGCGCGCGGCUUCUAUAGGGCUUGAGUUAUUAGACGCUGAUCUCAAAACAUCGUUCAUCAGACACCAAGGAGAGGCCAACAGAUGAGGGGAGCCAUUUUUCUGCAAUGGAAUUAAAUGGCCAAGUGGGUUUUUCCUUUGUUGCAAAUGGGGAAUGCUUUUCCUUUGACUCCACCAUCCAGUUCAGGACGCCUCAGUGUUGUGUUUAACAUUUGUCAACAGGCUAAAGGACUCACAAUUGGAAGAAUGAAGAAGACUUUUUAAAAAGAUCUGGAUUUUUCCUUAUGACUUGGAAUCCAUCUUUGUCUUGUAUAACUAGGUCAUAGCACACCAUUAAUGUCAGCAGUUAACAAUUUUGAAUUCCAAAAAACCUAAGUAAAUGACAUAUUUAAUUUUUUUCCUCUUUUUUUUCUUGGGUGGGUGGGGGGAGCUUGGAGCUGUCUUAAUCUGUAUUCUCUUGACUGAACAAUAAAUUUUUAAAUAUAUAUAGUUUCCUCUAUUAAACACUUAAACCUGGCCAUCUUAUUAACUCCUUCUGCUCUCUUUUUAACAAGGUAAUGUUUUAAAUGUAUAGUUUUAGGACUAGCGAAAUGGCAGCAACAAAAAAUUGUAAGCAGUUGUUACUUUUAAGCUUUUAAAAAACCUUUUACGUUGUAAGUACCCAAUCCAUUCUGUCCUUACGCAGUGCAGUUUUCAUGUUAAUGUUGCUGAGAUGUCCUUAAUUUUCUGAACCUUCAUCUGCAUGUAUGUCUUUGUCGCUCUUGUCUAAUAUAAGCCAGUUAAAAUGCUUUUAGACGAUUUUGCUUUUAUAAAGCUAAGGUUUUUUAGCUUUAAGCUUUUGAAAAUGUUUAAAGCAAUAAAUGCUAGUCAGCUUUCUUCCCAGUAACAUGUACACGUUCUUUGAAAAUCGAUCUAUUUGAAGAAAAACAGCUCUGUUUUUCUCGUCUUGGUAGGGGGGUGGGUGAGGGAAAGGAAGACCUUCUCUUUGUGUACAGAGUCUAAAGCCGUCACAGGAAACUAGAUUAAAACUGGAAAACAAGUCCUAGCUGGUUGGAGCCAAACACCAACGUUAACUCGCGGGUAUUUUCUAUGGUGGUUGGGAUGGCCGUGCGUCUUUUGCCUUUUGUUUGAUUUGACUGUGUAUUUUCGCCUUUUGUCUCUUAAUGACGAUCACACCAUUGCUAUAUCCAGAGCAGUAAACAGUCCUCAGCGAAGCCGCCUUUUGCCAACCCAACCCUGGAAAGUUUGCAGAAGUGGAAGGAGCAGAAAAUGCCAUGAGAGUGUAACUUACAAAAAGGU
RNAcentral lists this long non-coding RNA (1701 nucleotides) under Lynx pardinus (Iberian lynx). Lineage: Eukaryota; Metazoa; Chordata; Mammalia; Carnivora; Felidae. The record is from RNAcentral.